GUAGGUGGCAAGCGUUGUCCGGAAUUAUUGGGCGUAAAGCGCGCGCAGGCGGUUCUUUAAGUCUGAUGUGAAAGCCCACGGCUCAACCGUGGAGGGUCAUUGGAAACUGGAGAACUUGAGUACAGAAGAGGAAAGCGGAAUUCCACGUGUAGCGGUGAAAUGCGUAGAGAUGUGGAGGAACACCAGUGGCGAAGGCGGCUUUCUGGUCUGUAACUGACGCUGAGGCGCGAAAGCGUGGGGAGCAGACAGGAUUAGAUACCCUGGUAGUCCACGCCGUAAACGAUGAGUGCUAAGUGUUAGGGGGGUUUUCCGCCCCCCUUAGUGCUGCAGCUAACGCAUUAAGCACUCCGCCUGGGAGUACGGCCGCAAGGCUG
RNAcentral lists this ribosomal RNA (374 nucleotides) under uncultured organism. RNAcentral's name for it is "partial 16S ribosomal RNA". It matches the Rfam family "Bacterial small subunit ribosomal RNA", at positions 527 to 896 of the family's 1533-position model. The record is from RNAcentral.